Molecule: ribosomal RNA, 492 nt
Filed under: uncultured bacterium
Lineage: Bacteria
Description: partial 16S ribosomal RNA
Rfam family: Bacterial small subunit ribosomal RNA
Source: RNAcentral
AGUGAACGCUGGCGGUAGGCCUAACACAUGCAAGUCGAACGGCAGCACAGUAAGAGCUUGCUCUUACGGGUGGCGAGUGGCGGACGGGUGAGGAAUACAUCGGAAUCUACUUUUUCGUGGGGGAUAACGUAGGGAAACUUACGCUAAUACCGCAUACGACCUACGGGUGAAAGCAGGGGAUCUUCUGACCUUGCGCGAUUGAAUGAGCCGAUGUCGGAUUAGCUAGUUGGCGGGGUAAAGGCCCACCAAGGCGACGAUCCGUAGCUGGUCUGAGAGGAUGAUCAGCCACACUGGAACUGAGACACGGUCCAGACUCCUACGGGAGGCAGCAGUGGGGAAUAUUGGACAAUGGGCGCAAGCCUGAUCCAGCCAUACCGCGUGGGUGAAGAAGGCGUUCGGGUUGUAAAACCCUUUUGUUGGGAAAGAAAAGCAGCAGGUUAAUACCCCGCUGUUCUGACGGUACCCAAAGAAUAAGCACCGGCUAACUUCGUG